Molecule: ribosomal RNA, 583 nt
Filed under: uncultured bacterium
Lineage: Bacteria
Description: bacterial SSU rRNA
Rfam family: Bacterial small subunit ribosomal RNA
Source: RNAcentral
ACGGGUGAGUAAUGUCUGGGAAACUGCCUGAUGGAGGGGGAUAACUACUGGAAACGGUAGCUAAUACCGCAUAACGUCGCAAGACCAAAGAGGGGGACCUUCGGGCCUCUUGCCAUCAGAUGUGCCCAGAUGGGAUUAGCUAGUAGGUGGGGUAACGGCUCACCUAGGCGACGAUCCCUAGCUGGUCUGAGAGGAUGACCAGCCACACUGGAACUGAGACACGGUCCAGACUCCUACGGGAGGCAGCAGUGGGGAAUAUUGCACAAUGGGCGCAAGCCUGAUGCAGCCAUGCCGCGUGUAUGAAGAAGGCCUUCGGGUUGUAAAGUACUUUCAGCGGGGAGGAAGGUGUUGUGGUUAAUAACCACAGCAAUUGACGUUACCCGCAGAAGAAGCACCGGCUAACUCCGUGCCAGCAGCCGCGGUAAUACGGAGGGUGCAAGCGUUAAUCGGAAUUACUGGGCGUAAAGCGCACGCAGGCGGUCUGUCAAGUCGGAUGUGAAAUCCCCGGGCUCAACCUGGGAACUGCAUUCGAAACUGGCAGGCUAGAGUCUUGUAGAGGGGGGUAGAAUUCCAGGUGUAGCGG